GACGAACGCUGGCGGCGUGCCUAAUACAUGCAAGUUGAGCGCUGAAGGUUGGUACUUGUUCCACCUGGAUGAGCAGCGAACGGGUGAGUAACGCGUGGGUAAUCUGCCUUUGAGCGGGGGACAACAUCUGGAAACGAAUGCUAAUACCGCAUAAAAACUUUAAACACAAGUUUUAAGUUUGAAAGAUGCAAUUGCAUCACUCAAAGAUGAUCCCGCGUUGUAUUAGCUAGUUGGUGAGGUAAAGGCUCACCAAGGCGAUGAUACAUAGCCGACCUGAGAGGGUGAUCGGCCACAUUGGGACUGGGACACGGCCCAAACUCCUACGGGAGGCAGCAGUAGGGGAUCUUCGGCAAUGGACGAAAGGCUGACCGAGGAACGCCGCGGGAGUGAAGAAGGUUUUCGGAUCGUAAAACUCUGUUGGUAGAGAAGAACGUUGGUGAGAGUGGAAAGCGCAUCAAGUGACGGUAACUACCCAGAAAGGGACGGCUAACUACGUG
RNAcentral lists this ribosomal RNA (497 nucleotides) under uncultured bacterium. Its description in RNAcentral is "partial 16S ribosomal RNA". It matches the Rfam family "Bacterial small subunit ribosomal RNA", at positions 28 to 507 of the family's 1533-position model. The record is from RNAcentral.